UCAUAGCAUCGAGAUCAUCAAUGUGCUAGUACCUUGCAGAUCUCGCACCUUAUCCUUGGAUCUUGAUCUCUUCUUUCAAAUCUUGAAGAAGUUGAUCGCUACACGAACUCUUUCGCACAGAUCCGAUGGGAUUUGAACCAAAUCACCAUGAAGAGAAGAAGAUCCUUUUUCUUCUCUUCUUCUCUCUUUUUUUCUUCUCUUAGAUCUGAUCUCUAUCAGAUCUGGAC
This 227-nucleotide long non-coding RNA is filed under the name Elaeis guineensis (African oil palm). RNAcentral describes it as "long non-coding RNA (EGUI_LNC049665)". Lineage: Eukaryota; Viridiplantae; Streptophyta; Magnoliopsida; Arecales; Arecaceae. The record is from RNAcentral.